Stegodyphus dumicola is the source of this 305-nucleotide long non-coding RNA. NCBI's taxonomy places the organism in Eukaryota, Metazoa, Arthropoda, Arachnida, Araneae, Eresidae. The record is from RefSeq and is a predicted model, not a curated record.
UUUCAGAUCAUGAAUUUUUAUACAGAGAUGCUGACGGAGCAGCUACAAUAUUCGACGCUGACACUCUUCAAAGGACGGUCGUCAUGCCUAACACAACAUUUAGACAAAUGAAUGUUCAUCAAUAUAGCAUAUCUCCAGACAGAAGAUAUAUUCUCCUCGCCGUAGAUUAUAAAAAAAUGUACAGACAUUCAUUCCUAGCAAAGUACAGAAUUUAUAAUAUUAGCAACGAGCAUGUUGUGCCUCUACUCCAUGAUGACUCCAACGCCAUGCUACAGUUCGCACAAUGGGGACGGGGAGGAAGUCAA